This 281-nucleotide ribosomal RNA is filed under the name uncultured prokaryote. RNAcentral's name for it is "partial 16S ribosomal RNA". It matches the Rfam family "Bacterial small subunit ribosomal RNA", at positions 524 to 803 of the family's 1533-position model. The record is from RNAcentral.
UACGUAGGGGGCUAGCGUUAUCCGGAAUUACUGGGCGUAAAGGGUGCGUAGGUGGUUUCUUAAGUCAGAGGUGAAAGGCUACGGCUCAACCGUAGUAAGCCUUUGAAACUGGGAAACUUGAGUGCAGGAGAGGAGAGUGGAAUUCCUAGUGUAGCGGUGAAAUGCGUAGAUAUUAGGAGGAACACCAGUGGCGAAGGCGACUUACUGGACUGUAACUGACGCUGAGUCACGAAAGCGUGGGUAGCAAACAGGAUUAGAUACCCUGGUAGUCCCUGAGCGGG